AUUCUCAACCCAUCUGGAAGCAAUCAGGAUGAGAGCAAGUCCAACACGUUCAGUCCUCCAGUACCAAGGAACACAGAGUCCUUGCCUUACCCCCCCCCCCCCCCCCCCCCCCACACACACACACACAUUCUAAUUCAGCUAUAUAAAGUUCUUAUUUUUAUCAUAACAAAAAAUAACUGUAACUGAAACCUUUAUUCACAUACCUAACACAAACUGUAACUUCAACCAUAGCCCUAACACAAAAAGGUAAAUGCCUUUUAGGGACACUAAUAACAUAUUUUUUCAGGUUUAAUCAAAGGUCAGCUUUGUACCCACUAAUACAUUAAAAUAAAUUAUCAUGCAGUGCUCUCUGCAAGUACUGGGACAGUGAAAUGUCUACCACCUCUCUUUCAAGAUUAAGGACUUAGUUGUUAGUUAGGCUGAAUCAUUAAUGUUUCAAUGGUCCAUCAUCUCCCAGAACGUAAGGUUGAAGGACAUGGUCACAGUGGUCACUAAGAAGUCACAUCUCCCAGAAUAUCAGGUAGAAGUACAUGGUCACAGUGGUCACUAAGAAGUCACAUCUCCCAGAACAUCAGGUAGAAGUACAUGGUCACAGUGGUCACAUCUCCCAGAAUAUCAGGUAGAAGUACAUGGUCACAGUGGUCACUAAGAAGUCAAAUCUCCCAGAACAUCAGGUAGAAGUACAUGGUCACAGUGGUCACUAAGAUGGGACACCAGUGGAUCUUGCAGCAGCUGAAAAAACAAAACAUGUCCCAAUCAAUCGUAAUUUAUCAGUCAUAGUCAAACUUCUUAUUUCUAUAUCAACAAACAUAUAUAGAUAUAUUUUUUUUUACCAUACUAGCAAUUUUAACUUAAUUAUGACCUGGUAC
Molecule: long non-coding RNA, 869 nt
Organism: Esox lucius (northern pike)
Lineage: Eukaryota; Metazoa; Chordata; Actinopteri; Esociformes; Esocidae
Source: Ensembl